AUGGCUGUCGUCAGCUCGUGUCGUGAGAUGUUGGGUUAAGUCCCGCAACGAGCGCAACCCUUACUUUUAGUUGCCAUCAUUUAGUUGGGCACUCUGAAAGAACUGCCAGUGAUAAGCUGGAGGAAGGUGGGGAUGACGUCAAGUCCUCAUGGCCCUUAUGUGUUGGGCUACACACGUGCUACAAUGGCAUUUACAAUAGGAAGCAAGAUGGCGACAUCAAGCAAAUCCUAAAAAAAUGCCUCAGUUCGGAUUGCACUCUGCAACUCGAGUGCAUGAAGCUGGAAUUACUAGUAAUCGUGGAUCAGCGUGCCACGGUGAAUACGUUCCCGGGUCUUGUACACACCGCCCGUCACACCAUGGGAGUUGGUUCUACCUUAAGGCAAAGUUUAAAAACUUUGACCACGGUAUAGUCAGCGACUGGGGUGAAGUCGUAACAAGGUAGCCGUAGGGGAACCUGCGGCUGGAUUACCUCCUUUCUAAGGAUGAUUGAAAGUAAAAUUUCAAUCUAAAUAAUAAACAGGUUAAUGUUGACCGUCCUCAUUUCUCUUCUUAAAAUAGUGUUUCUCUUCUGCAUGGGGGCCGGUAGCUCAGUUGGUUAGAGCACACCCUUGAUAAGGGUGGGGUCGAUAGUUCGAGUCUAUCUCGGCCCACCAAAUUUUAUCUGGGGGAUUAGCUCAGCUGGGAGAGCGCCUGAUUUGCAUUCAGGAGGUCAGCGGUUCGAUCCCGCUAUCCUCCACCAAGAAACACUUAGUUAUUUUUUUUGUGAAUAUUUAAUAAUUUAUAUCAAUAUCUAUAUCCGAACAUUAAUUCAUUUAUUAAUGUUCAAAUAAAAAAUUUGAUUCAACACAGAAUUUUUUUCUGUGCAUAAAUCAAGCGUUUAAGGGCGUGUGGCGGAUGCCUUGGCACUGAAAGCCGAUGAAGGACGUGGUAUACUGCGAUAAGUUACGGGGAGCUGUAUGCAAGUUUUGAUCCGUAAAUUUCCGAAUGGGGAAACCCGG
RNAcentral lists this small RNA (998 nucleotides) under uncultured bacterium. Its description in RNAcentral is "bacterial SSU rRNA". The stretch from base 1 to 476 matches the Rfam family "Bacterial small subunit ribosomal RNA", at positions 1045 to 1533 of the family's 1533-position model. The record is from RNAcentral.